This 774-nucleotide ribosomal RNA is filed under the name uncultured Neocallimastigales. RNAcentral describes it as "partial large subunit ribosomal RNA". It matches the Rfam family "Eukaryotic large subunit ribosomal RNA", at positions 24 to 645 of the family's 3401-position model. The record is from RNAcentral. Lineage: Eukaryota; Fungi; Neocallimastigomycota; Neocallimastigomycetes; Neocallimastigales.
UAUGUGAUCGUCUCUCGCAUAUCAAUAAGCGGAGGAAAAGAAACUAACAAGGAUUCCCCUAGUAACGGCGAGUGAAGCGGGAAGAGCUCAAAUUUGAAAUCUUAAAGGGUUUCCCUUUACGAAUUGUAGUUUAAAGAAGUGUUUUCUGUUGAAGUUUUGGUAAAAGUUCUUUGGAAUAGGACAUCAUAGAGGGUGAGAAUCCCGUAUUUGACCUUUACUUUCAACUUUGUGAUACACUUUCAAAGAGUCGGAUUGUUUGGGAAUGCAGUCCAAAAUGGGUGGUAAAUUUCAUCUAAAGCUAAAUAUUGGCGAGAGACCGAUAGCGAACAAGUACCGUGAGGGAAAGAUGAAAAGAACUUUGAAAAGAGAGUUAAACAGUACGUGAAAUUGUCAAAAGGGAAGCGUUUGACACCAGUGUUGUUUUUCUGAAAAUCAAUUAAAGAACUGUUUAUGCUAAGUUGUUUAGACUUUAUCAGCUAUCUGUUUAGUUUUGAGCUCUUCUUUAAUGCACUUUUCAGUUAACAAGUCAACAUCAAUUUCUUUUGCUGUAAAAAAGCUUGAGGAAGGUGGCUUGAGAUUCGUCUUAAGUGUUUAUAGCCUCUUGCCUAUGCAGUCGGAGAGAUUGAGGUCUGCAGCGUAGAUCCUUCGGGGCUAAAUGCAUUUGUGCUAAGUUAUAGCAUUUUAUAGACAACUUGUUGACUAUGAUUUGUCUUGUAGCUUACUCGCUUAUGUUAUUUUACCUACGCUUAGGAUGUUGAAGUCAUCGUAUCGCGC